This 868-nucleotide ribosomal RNA is filed under the name uncultured crenarchaeote. RNAcentral describes it as "bacterial SSU rRNA". It matches the Rfam family "Archaeal small subunit ribosomal RNA", at positions 21 to 865 of the family's 1478-position model. The record is from RNAcentral. Lineage: Archaea; Thermoproteati; Thermoproteota.
ACCCCACUGCUAUCGGGAUAGGACUAAGACAUGCUAGUCGAGCGCUUCAAGCCAAAAAGAGGCGCGGCAUACAGCUCAGUAACACGUGGCUAAUCUGCCCUUGGGAUAGGAACACCCCCGGGAAACUGGGGCUAAUUCCCAAUAGGCGAAGAACUCUGGAAUGAGUCUUUACCAGAAAAGACGCUUGCGUUAUGCUCGUAAGUGUCGCCCAAGGAUGAGGCCGCGACCGAUCAGGUUGUUGGUGAGGUAAUGGCUCACCAAGCCUUUUACCGGUGCGGGCCGUGAGAGCGGGAGCCCGGAGAUGGGCACUGAGACAAGGGCCCAGGCCCUACGGGGCGCAGCAGUCGCGAAAACUUUGCAAUAAGCGAAAGCUUGACAGGGCUAUCCCGAGUGCCAUCCGCUGAGGAAGGCUUUUACCCAGUCUAGAACGCUGGGGGAAUAAGGAGAGGGCAAGUCUGGUGUCAGCCGCCGCGGUAAUACCAGCUCUCCGAGUGGUGUGGAUGUUUAUUGGGCCUAAAGCAUCCGUAGCUGGCUAAGUUAGUCCCUUGUUAAAUCCACCGAAUUAAUCGUUGGAUUGCGGGGGAUACUGCUUGGAUAGGGGACGAGAGAGGCAGACGGUAUUUCCGGGGUAGGGGUGAAAUCCUAUAAUCCCGGGAAGACCACCAGUGGCGAAGGCUGUCUGCUAGAACGCGCCCGACGGUGAGGGAUGAAAGCUGGGGGAGCGAACCGGAUUAGAUACCCGGGUAGUCCCAGCUGUAAACGAUGCAGGCUAGGUGUUUGGACGGCCACGUGCCGUUCUAGUGCCGCAGGGAAGCUGUUAAGCCUGCCGCCUGGGGAGUACGAUCGCAAGGCUGAAACUUAAAGGAAU